AUGAUCCCCGUGGGAGAGACCGGCCCUUUAUCGGGUCGGCGCCGAAGGAGCAACCGCCCCUGGAAACUCUCAGGCAAAAGGACCGCGGGGGGAUG
Molecule: non-coding RNA, 95 nt
Filed under: Magnetospirillum sp.
Lineage: Bacteria; Pseudomonadati; Pseudomonadota; Alphaproteobacteria; Rhodospirillales; Rhodospirillaceae
Also listed under: 1 other name
Description: Glycine sequence
Rfam family: Glycine riboswitch aptamer
About the family: This family represents the bacterial glycine riboswitch. Glycine riboswitches usually consist of two metabolite-binding aptamers domains with similar structures in tandem.
Source: RNAcentral